This 346-nucleotide ribosomal RNA is filed under the name uncultured Lachnospiraceae bacterium. RNAcentral's name for it is "bacterial SSU rRNA". It matches the Rfam family "Bacterial small subunit ribosomal RNA", at positions 28 to 339 of the family's 1533-position model. The record is from RNAcentral. Lineage: Bacteria; Bacillati; Bacillota; Clostridia; Lachnospirales; Lachnospiraceae.
GAUGAACGCUGGCGGCGUGCCUAACACAUGCAAGUCGAACGGAGAGAAGACACCGAAGGAAGCUAAGAGCUUGCUCGAAGCGGAGAUCACCGUUUUCUCUUAGUGGCGGACGGGUGAGUAACGCGUGGAUAACCUGCCUCAUACAGGGGGAUAACAGUUAGAAAUGACUGCUAAUACCGCAUAAGCGCACACUAUCGCAUGAUAGAGUGUGAAAAACUCCGGUGGUAUGAGAUGGAUCCGCGUCUGAUUAGCCAGUUGGCGGGGUAACGGCCCACCAAAGCGACGAUCAGUAGCCGACCUGAGAGGGUGACCGGCCACAUUGGGACUGAGACACGGCCCAAACUCC